Lynx canadensis (Canada lynx) is the source of this 529-nucleotide long non-coding RNA. RefSeq lists it as uncharacterized. NCBI's taxonomy places the organism in Eukaryota, Metazoa, Chordata, Mammalia, Carnivora, Felidae. The record is from RefSeq and is a predicted model, not a curated record. The transcript is spliced from 3 exons.
GGCAAAAGGUUGUUGAAUGCUGGCUCUCUCUGAAUGCCCCCAAAAUAACCCGUGCAGAAGGCCAGGCUCAGUUCAGUGCUUAUCAAGAUUUUAUUCGGAAGUCAUCUCUACAUCCAACCCGGGGCUCGAACUCACAACCCUGAGAUCAAGAAUCGCUUGCUCCACCAAAUGAGCCCGCCAGUCCCCAGCCUGAGGAACCCCGGAAAAACAGAAGAGGUCUCAAAAGAAGGCCAAAGAAAGAAUCUUUGCGGGAAACAAUUCUCUUUUUGCUAGAAAGCAUUAAAGUAACUCUUCACUGUGCGUCAAUAGACAAGAUGUACAGAGCAUUAGCUUGAGAACUGAACUCAGGGACGGAUCCUCAAAUUGCACAACAGGGUAUCAUAUACCGUUUCCUGUGUGGGGAUGGCGGAGAUCCCUAGGUGAGUUCUACUUUUGAGCUGAGUCAUAGCACCAGAAAAUUGUCAAAUAAAAAACAAACCUGGACUUAGGGAAAGGAGAGACUUCAUUAAAAAAAAAAAAAAAAAUUAUU